Molecule: long non-coding RNA, 1809 nt
Filed under: Piliocolobus tephrosceles (Ugandan red Colobus)
Lineage: Eukaryota; Metazoa; Chordata; Mammalia; Primates; Cercopithecidae
Description: lncRNA (ENSPTEG00000012773.1)
Source: RNAcentral
AUCCUUGCAAUGUGUUCCUUGCACCGGUCCCCUAAGUCCCUCCCGCGCUAGCCGCCCAGCCCCGCCCCUCCCGGGCCCUGCCCCUCCAGACCCCGCCCUUCCCCGCCCCGCCCCUCUCUCGCCCGGGCCCCACCCCUUCCCGGGCCCCACUCCUGGGGCGCACCUUGCGCCCACCCGCCUCAGUCGCCGCCGGCCAUUCGGCGUCCCGGCGGUUUCCUGCUCCGCCCUGUCCCUCCGCGCGGGCGCUCGCCUUCCCCGCCUCGCAGGCCUCACUCGGUUCAGGGCGGUUGGGCCGCACGCCUGUCGGGGCGGGGCUGGAGCGGGGGACCGAGCCAAUGGGGCGCGGCGGCGGCGGCGGUGGCUGUUGCUGUGGCGGCUGUGUCCGACCCAGACGGGCUGAGAUGGAGCCGGAGGGAGAUGGAGGGAGGCGGAGGGAGGCGGCGGGAGGCAGUGUCGGCGGCAGCGGCGUAGGGAGGAAGGUGGCGGCGCCUGUCCUGCUGAGGGUGUGGGUGCAUGCAGUGUGCGCCGCCGCCGGGAUCCAGCUCUCCAUCUGCGCCUACCAUGUGGAGCUGGAGAAGAAGCGGGACCACCGGCCCUCUGCGACCUGGGACCCUGGAUGAAGUGCUCCGCUGCGCUUGCCUCCAGCGGAGGCUCUGGAGCCGGCUCCGACCCGAGGAGGGUUGCGUUUCCCGCUGUCUUCGUGAUGCUGGGUCAGGUGUUUCCGUGGUCAGGCCUCUUUGUACUCCAGCGCUGGUGAGAAUUUGCAGACUUACUGGGACGGUGACAUUUGCAGAUAAACACGAAUUUGACCCUAUUCUGCAGGAAGGGGGGAAAUGGUCUGAGUUCAAGUCUAGUUUAAGCUUCACUGGAGUAAAGGACAAGUAUGUUAUGUUUAUGGCGGUGUUUUACGCAUUGGGAUGACUUGUAAACAUUGUUGCUUAUUAAUAUAAUAGGAUACCCAUAACAGAUUUAAAACACACGCCUUGCUAAACUGGAGCUAUUGGUUUGUGUUACUGAUCAUUUUAGUUUUUUUUUUUUUUAAUGUUGUAAUUGGUUUGUCUGUUAGGUUUUAUUUUAAUGUAUUAAAUUUCCCUAGGCAAGUUACUUUUAAAAAGGGGGGAAUUUACAUUUUAAAAGAGGCUGCCUUUUUUUUUUUUUUUUUUUUUUUUAACACGGGGUGAUUAAAAACAUAACAGAAGUCGAAGGAAUGAUUUCAAAAUUGGUAGGUUACGAUUUUAAUAGAGACGAUGUCUGAUAUUUAGAUGUUUGUUAACAGUAGUCACAUUUGAGCGAUUUCUUCCCCUGCUGUUGAUUGGUAAAUUGGUAUGUAUCAGAAAUGUAUAGCUCACUAGUUUAUUUCGACUCACAUAUUGUUUAUUACAUGAACAAGGUAGCAUUGGAGUUUGUCUUGUUAUUGGUUACAAAUUUUAGGGAGCUGAUCUUUCCACUUAGCUUUUUUCAUGGACCAGGUACUCUCUCAUUUGCUGUUAAACAAAAAUCGUGUAGCUUUUUACAGGGGAAAUAAUUAUCAUAGGGCCAAAUGAAACAUUUUAAAAAUGUAUUUAAAAUGUAGGUAUCAGGUUACAGGGGAAAUACACAGAUGUGACAAAAAGCUCACAUUUGUUGUUGGUUAUUCAGACCAAGGUUAAUAGGCUGAUUCGACUCUCAGAUACUCUUUGAGAACCAUUGAGUGUCUUUUAUGCAAAUAUUUUUAUGUUAUUUUCACUGUCAGAAAGGAGUUUUAAACUUGUAAGUACCUUUCACCCAAAGUUAGUUGAAUGAAUAAAUACAUAAGGAAAACAUGUAGCA